GCUGGCUGCGUGCUUAACACAUGCAAGUCGAACGCUGAAGCCCGAAGCUUGCUUCGGGUGGAUGAGUGGCGAACGGGUGAGUAACACGUGAGUAACCUGCCCCUGAUUUCGGGAUAAGCCUGGGAAACUGGGUCUAAUACCGGAUACGACCACCNNACGCAUGUGGGNUGGUGGAAAGUUUUUCGAUCGGGGAUGGGCUCGCGGCCUAUCAGCUUGUUGGUGGGGUAAUGGCCUACCAAGGCGACGACGGGUAGCCGGCCUGAGAGGGCGACCGGCCACACUGGGACUGAGACACGGCCCAGACUCCUACGGGAGGCAGCAGUGGGGAAUAUUGCACAAUGGGGGAAACCCUGAUGCAGCGACGCAGCGUGCGGGAUGACGNCUUCGGGUUGUAAANNNCUNUCAGCAGGGAAGAAGCCGUAAGG
RNAcentral lists this ribosomal RNA (425 nucleotides) under Brevibacterium oceani. RNAcentral's name for it is "bacterial SSU rRNA". It matches the Rfam family "Bacterial small subunit ribosomal RNA", at positions 35 to 458 of the family's 1533-position model. Lineage: Bacteria; Bacillati; Actinomycetota; Actinomycetes; Micrococcales; Brevibacteriaceae. The record is from RNAcentral.